This 408-nucleotide ribosomal RNA is filed under the name Niphargus stygius. Its description in RNAcentral is "partial large subunit ribosomal RNA". Lineage: Eukaryota; Metazoa; Arthropoda; Malacostraca; Amphipoda; Niphargidae. The record is from RNAcentral.
CUGUGAAAGCAGUGACAUCCCGACAAAGGGGCAUUACGUGCGCUGCACUUACACCCCCACGGCAAAGCUCUGAGAUAUAUAUAUAUCUCUCUCUCUCUGACGAUAAAGGUGUCUGGUACGGAAUAUGCGCACGCACGGUGAUCACUACAAAUACGUGUGUGAGUGUGUGCGCUUGUAUGGUUACGCUCAUAAGCGUUGUUGCUCUCUGGUAAAAGGAUAAAGCAUAAGAGAGAGAGAGAGAGACACACACAGAGUGUGGGUGAGCGUGAGUUUGCUCUCGCAUGAGCCCCCUGCGUCUGGUUCUAUGUCUGGCGAAAGGGAAUGGGGACUUUGUUCCUUGACCGGUCCCGGCACCCUCGAUUGGCUUUGCCAAUUAAUGGUCCAUGCAAAUGGAACCAGGCCACAGCC